AGAGUUUGAUCAUGGCUCAGAUUGAACGCUGGCGGCAGGCCUAACACAUGCAAGUCGAGCGGUAGCACAGAGAGCUUGCUCUCGGGUGACGAGCGGCGGACGGGUGAGUAAUGUCUGGGAAACUGCCUGAUGGAGGGGGAUAACUACUGGAAACGGUAGCUAAUACCGCAUAACGUCGCAAGACCAAAGUGGGGGACCUUCGGGCCUCAUGCCAUCAGAUGUGCCCAGAUGGGAUUAGCUAGUAGGUGGGGUAACGGCUCACCUAGGCGACGAUCCCUAGCUGGUCUGAGAGGAUGACCAGCCACACUGGAACUGAGACACGGUCCAGACUCCUACGGGAGGCAGCAGUGGGGAAUAUUGCACAAUGGGCGCAAGCCUGAUGCAGCCAUGCCGCGUGUGUGAAGAAGGCCUUCGGGUUGUAAAGCACUUUCAGCGGGGAGGAAGGCGGUGAGGUUAAUAACCUCAUCGAUUGACGUUACCCGCAGAAGAAGCACCGGCUAUCC
Molecule: ribosomal RNA, 503 nt
Filed under: Klebsiella pneumoniae
Lineage: Bacteria; Pseudomonadati; Pseudomonadota; Gammaproteobacteria; Enterobacterales; Enterobacteriaceae
Description: bacterial SSU rRNA
Rfam family: Bacterial small subunit ribosomal RNA
Source: RNAcentral